This 86-nucleotide transfer RNA is filed under the name Thermoprotei archaeon. Its description in RNAcentral is "tRNA-Gly". It matches the Rfam family "tRNA". Rfam says of the family: Transfer RNA (tRNA) molecules are approximately 80 nucleotides in length. The record is from RNAcentral. Lineage: Archaea; Thermoproteati; Thermoproteota; Thermoprotei.
GCCGGGGUGCCCGAGAGGACUAAGGGGUCGGACACCCUAUCCGAUGCCUCUUUCGAGGCGCGUGGGUUCGAAUCCCACCCCCGGCG